AUUGAACGCUGGCGGCAGGCCUAACACAUGCAAGUCGAGCGGAUGAAGGGAGCUUGCUCCUGGAUUCAGCGGCGGACGGGUGAGUAAUGCCUAGGAAUCUGCCUGGUAGUGGGGGAUAACGUCCGGAGACGGGCGCUAAUACCGCAUACGUCCUGAGGGAGAAAGUGGGGGAUCUUCGGACCUCACGCUAUCAGAUGAGCCUAGGUCGGAUUAGCUAGUUGGUGGGGUAAAGGCCUACCAAGGCGACGAUCCGUAACUGGUCUGAGAGGAUGAUCAGUCACACUGGAACUGAGACACGGUCCAGACGCCUACGGGAGGCAGCAGUGGGGAAUAUUGGACAAUGGGCGAAAGCCUGAUCCAGCCAUGCCGCGUGUGUGAAGAAGGUCUUCGGAUUGUAAAGCACUUUAAGUUGGGAGGAAGGGCAGUAAGUUAAUACCUUGCUGUUUUGACGUUACCAACAGAAUAAGCACCGGCUAACUUCGUG
This 484-nucleotide ribosomal RNA is filed under the name uncultured bacterium. Its description in RNAcentral is "partial 16S ribosomal RNA". It matches the Rfam family "Bacterial small subunit ribosomal RNA", at positions 30 to 507 of the family's 1533-position model. The record is from RNAcentral.